UGGGGGAUCGUCUAGCGGCAGGACACCACACUCUGGAUGUGGGAACUCAGGUUCGAAUCCUGGUCCCCCAACCA
RNAcentral lists this transfer RNA (74 nucleotides) under Nitrospinaceae bacterium. RNAcentral's name for it is "tRNA-Gln". It matches the Rfam family "tRNA". Rfam says of the family: Transfer RNA (tRNA) molecules are approximately 80 nucleotides in length. Their secondary structure includes four short double-helical elements and three loops (D, anti-codon, and T loops). Lineage: Bacteria; Pseudomonadati; Nitrospinota; Nitrospinia; Nitrospinales; Nitrospinaceae. The record is from RNAcentral.